CUUAGAUGCACUAUUGUAAAGUGGCUGUUCCACUGGAUGUCAUAAGGUGAAAGCACCAAUUUGUAAGUCGCUCUGGAUAAGAGCGUCUGCUAAAUGACUUAAAUGUAAUGUAAAUGUAACUGUUAACACAUAGUAGGAUACUCAUUACUUUGUGUGACAGGUUUCCCCAAUGUCAUUGGUGCAGUGGACUGCACACACAAGGAUAAAAGCCCCCUCAGGUGCCCAUGAGGCCGAUUUUGUGAAUAGGAAAUCCUUUCACAGCAUUAAUGUUCAGAUGGUCUGCAAUGCUGACUGUGUGAUCAGCAAUGUUGUGGCAAAAUGGCCUGGCUCAGUCCAUGACUCCAGAAUCUUUCGGGCCUCUGAAAUCUAUCAGUGCCUAUCACAAGGUGAAUUCUCUGGUGUGUUGCUGGGAGACAGGGGGUAUGGCUGCCAGCCUUUUCUCCUGACACCUUUCACAGACCCCCAGGAAGCACAGCAGGCCUACAACCAUGCCCAUGCCAGGACCAGGGCCAGAGUUGAAAUGACCUUUGGCCUCCUGAAGGCACGCUUUCACUGCCUUCACAAAUUAAGGGUCAGCCCUGUUAGGGCAUGUGAUAUUACUGUGGCUUGUGCUGUCCUCCACAAUGUGGCCUGCCUGAGGAAGGAGAGGGCCCCCAGAGUGCCACCAGCCAUGGACUGGGACAAUCCGGCAAUCUUCCUGAUGACGACAGUGGUCGGCUGCUGAGGGACCAAUAUGUGUUGAAUUAUUUUAGUUAGUAUGUGUGCUUUCAAUUUUGGUUAAAUAUGUCCUGCGGUGGCAGAGGAAUUUGGGUUUUUUUUUUGGGUUCGUUUUUUGACGAAUUUGGCCUCUUAUGAUGUUUGUGCGGUAUACUGUGUGUAAUACAAGGCUGCAGGGAGGCUACUGCAUCCAUUCAUUUGUCUGUUCAGUUGAUGUGUAUGGAUUUGUCCUGCAUUUAUUUUAGUGUGCAGACAUGCAGGGUGUGUUAUAUACAGACCUUUGAAUGUGUAUGUAUCAUUUUGUAUAAUAUGCUUGGAUUCUGUGCUUUCCAUCUUGUAGAGUCACUGUGACUUCAGUUUCGAAAGGAGCUGAUGGUUUACCUGCUUUGUUUUGUCCUUAUUCAAUAAAGGAACAUAAUGUUACACAUUGUGUUUUUAUAUUCA
This is a long non-coding RNA of Oncorhynchus nerka (sockeye salmon), 1161 nucleotides long. RefSeq lists it as uncharacterized. The transcript has 3 exons. NCBI's taxonomy places the organism in Eukaryota, Metazoa, Chordata, Actinopteri, Salmoniformes, Salmonidae. The record is from RefSeq and is a predicted model, not a curated record.